Long non-coding RNA from Loxodonta africana (African savanna elephant), 10896 nucleotides. RefSeq lists it as uncharacterized. The transcript is spliced from 2 exons. Lineage: Eukaryota; Metazoa; Chordata; Mammalia; Proboscidea; Elephantidae. The record is from RefSeq and is a predicted model, not a curated record.
UCGUCAGGGCCCUGAAGGGGCGGUGCCAAAACCCUGCCCUCGGGCCCGCCGAGACGUCCGAGGGCGGAGGCAUGACCCGGCCUGCCCGCUCUGGGGUUGUUUGCAGGCGACGCCGGGGCAACGGUCCGAGCCCGCCGGGACGCUAGCCUUCCUGACCUAUAGUCCCGGAGGACCUGCCCGCCCAGAGCCGCGGAGUUCGCGGCGGCGCCGAGUGCCCUCCACCCGGGCCUCUGGGCUUUGAGGUGCUGUCCAGUCAGUUCCAACUCAUAGUGACCCUGUGUACAACAGAACGAAACACUGCUCGAUCCUGUGCCAUCCUGAUGAUCAUUGUUAUGCUUGAGCCCAUUUUUCUAGCCACUGUGUCAGCCCAUCUCAUUGAAGGUCUUCCUUUUUUUUUUGAUGACCCUCCACUUUACCAAGCAUGAUGUCCUUCUCCAGGAGCUGGUCCCUUCUGAUAACAUGUCCAAAGUAUGUGAGACAUACUCUCACCAUCCUUGCAUCUAAGGAGCAUUCUGGUUUACUUCUUCUAAGACAGAUUUUCUCGGUCUUUUGGCAGUCCAUGGCAUAUUCCAUAUUCUUUGCCAGCACCACAACUCAGAGUCAUUAGUUCCACUUCUGUCUUCCUUAUUCAUUGUCCAGCUUUCACAUGUAUAUGAGGUGAUUGAAAAUAACAUGGCUUGAGUCAAAUGCACCUUAGUUCUCAAAGUGACAUCUACGAUUUUCAACACUUUAAAGAGGUCUUUUGCACCAGAUUUGCCCAAUGCAAUGUGUCAUUUGAUUUUUUGACUCCUGCUUCCAUGGGUGUUGAUUGUGGAUCCAAGUAAAAUGAAAUCCUUGACAACUUCAGUCUUUUUUCCAUUUGAGAUGAUGUUGCUUAUUGGCCCAGUGAUGAAGAUUUUUGUUCUCUCUAUAUUGAGGUGUAAUCCAUAUUGCAGGUUGCAGUCUUUGAUCCUCAUCAGUAAGUGCUUCAAGUCCUCUUCACUUUCAGCAAGCAGGGUUAUGUCAUUUGCAUAUCGUAGGUUAUUAAUGAGUCUUCCUCCAAUCCUGAUGCCACUUUCUGCUUUAUAUAGUCCAGCUUUUGGAUUAUUUACUCAACAUACAGAUGGAAUAAGUAUGGUGAAAGGAUACAACCCUGUCACACACCUUUUCUGACUUUAAACCAUGCAGUAUCCCCUUCUUCUGUUCUAACGAAUACCUCUUGAUCCAUUUACAGGUUCCUCAUGAGCACAGUUAAGUGUUCUGGAGUUCCCAUUCUUCCCAAUGUUAUCCAUAAUUUGUUAUGAUCCACCCAGUCGAAUGCCUUUCUAUAGUCAGUAAAAAGGCAGGUAAACGUCUUUCUGGUAUUCUCUACUUUCAGCCAGAAUCCAUCUGAGAUCAGCAAUGAUAUCCCUCCUUCCACGUCCUCAUCUGAAUCUGACUUGAAUUUCUGGCAGUUCCCUGUCAAUGUACUGCUGCAACUGCUUUUGAAUGAUCUUCAGCAAAAUUUUACUUGUGUAUGAUAUUAAUGGUAUUGUCCAAUAAUUUUCGCAUUUGGCUCCAUCUCCUUCCUUUGGAAUAGGCAUAAAUAUGAAUCUCUUCCAGCCCGUUGGCCAGUGUCAUGGACUGAAUUGUGUCCCCAAAAAUAUGUGUAUCAAUUUGGGUAUGCCAUGAUUCCCAAUAUUAUGUAAUUGUCCACCAUUUUGUCAUCGGACGUGAUUUCCCUAUGUGUUGUAAAUCCUAUCACUGUUACGUUAAUGAGAUGGAUUAUCAGCAGUUAUGUUGGUGAGAUCUACAACACUAGAUUUGUAUUAAGCCAAUCUCUUUUGAGAUAUAAAAGAAGCGAGCAGAGAGACAUGGGGACCUCAUACCACCAAGAAAGCAGUAUCAGGAGCAGAGCAUGCCCUUUGGACCUGGAGUUCCUGUGCAGAGAGGCUCCUAGUGCAGGGGAAUAUUGAUGACAAGGACCUUCCUCCAGAGCUGACAGAAAAAGCCUUCCCCAAAAUCAGAUAAAAGAAUUCAAAAAAAUGAAGAAACUCUAAGAAUUCUGUGGGACUCUAUCAAGAGGAAUAACCUGUGAGUGAUUGGAGUGCCAGAACAGGAGGGAUAACAGAAAAUACAGAAAGAAUUGUUGAAGAUAUUUUGGCAAAAACUUCCCUGCUAUCAUGGGAGAUGAGAAGAUACUUAUCCAAGAUGCUCAUCAAAUGCCACACAAGGUAGAUCCCCCCAAAAAGUCACCAAGACAUAUUAUAAUCAAACUUGCCAAAACCAAAGAUAAAGAGAGAAUUUUAAGAGCAGCUAGAAAUAAACAAAAAGUCAUCUACAAAGAACCGUCGAUAAAACUAAGCUCGGACUACUCAGCAGAAACCAUGCAGGCGAGAAGGCAAUGGGAUGACAUAUAUAAAGCCUUGGAAAAAAUUGCUAGGCAAGAAUUAUAUAUCCAGCAAAACUGUCUCUCAAAUUUGAUAGUGAAAUUAGGGCAUUUCCAGAUAAACAGAAGUUUAGGGAAUUAGCAAAAACCAAACCAAAAUUAUAAUAAAUACUAAAAGGAGUUGUCUGGUUAGAAAAUCAAUAACACUAAAUAACAACCCAAGGCUAGAACACAGGACAGAGCAACCAGAUAUCAACCCAGAUGAGGAAGUCACAAAAAUAAAUCAAGCUACAACACUGAAAAUAGAGGAACAGAGAUGUCAGUAUGUAAAAGAUGACAGCAUUAAAACAAAAAAGAGAGACUAAAAAAUGUGGUCAUAGAUCUUUCAUAUGGAGAGGAAGUCAAGGUGAUAUAAAGAAAUAAAAGAUUGGUUUAAACUUGGAAAAAUCGGAGUAAAUAUUAAGGUGACCACAAAGGAAACUACAAAUCCUACACAUCAAAAUAAAAAACAAGAAAACAUAAAGACUGAGCAAAUAUGAAACCAACAACAAUGAAAAAGAUGAAAAGAAAAUACAUAAAGAGAAACAACUCAGCACAGAAAAUUAAGUGAAACAAACUCAAUAACACACAAAAAAAGACAUCAAAAUGACACCACUAAACUCAUAAAAAAAAAAAAAACUAUCAAUAAUUACGCUGAAUAUAACUGGACUGAAUGCACCAAUAAAGAAAGUGGCAGAAUGGAUUUAAAAAAAAAAAAGAUUUCAUCUAUUUGCUGGCUACAAGAGACACACUUUAGAUUUAAAGACACAAACUAAAACUCAAAGUAUGGAAAAAAAUAUAUCCAGCAAUCAAUCAAAAAAGAGCAGGAGUGGAAAGAUUAAUUUCUGACAAAAUAGACUUUAAGGUAAAAUCUACCACAAAGAAUAAGGAAGGAUACUAUAUAAUGAUUAAAGGGUAAAUACAACAGGAGGACAUAACCAUAAUAAAUACUUACGCACCCAAAACAGGGCUCCAAAAUACAUAAAAUCUUAACAGCAUUGAAAAGAAAGAUACACAGCUCCACAAUAAUAGUAGGAGACUUCAACACACCACUUUCGGUGAAGGACAGAACAUCCAGAAAGAAGCUCGUUAAAGUCACAGAAAUACUGACUGACACAAUCAACCAACUUGACCUUGUAGAUAUAUACAGAAGACUCCACCCAAAAGCAGCCAAGUAUACUUUCUUUUCCAAUGCACAUGGAGCAUUCUCCAGAAUAGACCACGUAUUAGGCCAUAAAGCAAGCCUUAACAGAAUCCAAAGCAUCGAAGCAUCUUUUCUGACCAUAAAGCCAUAGUAGUAAAACUCAGUAACAGAAGAAGGGAAAAAAAAAAAUCAAACACAUGGAAACUGAACAACACCUUCCCCCAAAACUACCGGAUUAUAGAAGAAAUUAAGGAUGGAAUAAUGAAAUUCACAGAAUCAGAUGAUAAUGAAAACACAUCCUACCAGAACCUUUGGGACACAGCAAAAGCAGUGCUUACAGGUCAAUUUAUAGCAAUAAAUGCACACAUCCAAAAAGAAGAAAGGACCAAAAUCAAAACAUUAACCUUACAACUUGAGCAAAUAGAAGCAGCAAAAGAAUCCUUUGGGCACUGGAAGAAAGCAAAUAAUAGAAAUUGGAGCAGAAUUAAAUGAAAUACAGAAUAGAAAAACAAUUGAAAGAGUUAAGACCAAAAGCUGGUUCUUUGAAAAAUCACCAAAAUCAAUAUACCAUUGGCCAGACUGACAAAAAAACAGGAGAGGAAGCAAAUAACCCAAGCAAGAAAUGAGAUGGGCGAUAUCACAACAGACCCAACUAAAUUUAAAAGCAUCAUAACAGGAUGCUAUGAAAAAUUGUACUCUAACAAAUUUGAAAACCUAGAGAAAAAGGACAAAUUUUUAGAAGCACACUACCUACCUGAACUAACAUAAACAGAGGUAGAACAACUAAAUAAAUCUAUAACAAAAGCAGAGAUUGAAAAGGUAAUUAAGAAAUUCCCAACAAAAAAAAGCCCUGGCCCCUGUGGCUUCUCAUUCAGAGAAGAGUUGACGCCACUACUACUAAAGGUAUUUCAGAGCAUAAAAAAGGAAGGAAUACUCCCAAACUCAUUCUAUGAAGCCAGCAUAACCAUGAUGCCAAAAUCAGGUAAAGACACCACAAAAAAAGAAAAUUAUAGACCAACAUCCCUCAUGAAUAUAGACACAAAAAUCUUCAGCAAAAUUCUAGCCAAUAGAAUUCAACAACAUAUCAAAAAAAUAAUUCACCAUGACCAAGUGGAAUUCAUACCAGGGAUGCAGGAAUGGUUCAACAUUAGGAAAACAAUCAAUGUAAUCCACAUAAAUAAAACCAAAGACAAAAACCACAUGAUCUUAUCAUUGAUGCAGAAAAGGCAUUUGACAAAGUCCAACACCCAUUCAUGAUAAAAACUCUCAGCAAAAUAGGAAUAGAAGGGAAAUUCCUCAACAGAAUAAAGGGCGUUUAUACAAAGCCAACAGCUAGCAUCAUCCUAAAUGGAGAGAGUCUGAAAGCAUUCCCCUUGAGAACGGGAACCAGACAAGAAUGCUCUGUAUUACCACUCUUAUUCACCAUUGUUCUGAAGGUCCUAACCAGAGCAAUUAGGCUAGAAAAAGAAAUAAAGGAAAUCCAGACUGGUAAAGGAGAAGUAAAAAUAUCUCUAUUUGCAGAUAAUAUGAUCUUAUAUACAGAAAAUCCUAAAGAAUCCACAAGAAAACUACUGGAACUAAUAGAAGAGUUCAACAGAGUAUCAGGAUACAAGGUAAACAUACGAAAAUCAGUUGAAUUCCUCUGCACCAACAAAGAGAACAUCGAAGAAGAAAUCACCAAAUCAAUACCAUUUACAAUAGCCCCCAAGAAGACAAAAUACAAUAACCCCCAAGAAGACAAAAUACAAUAACCCCCGAGAAAACAAAAUACAAUAACCCCCAAGAAGACAAAAUACUUAGGAAUAAAUCUAACCAGAGACGUAAAAGACCUAUACAAAGAAAACUACAAGACACUACUGCAAGAAACCAAAAGAGACUUACAUAAGUGGAAAAACAUACCUUGUUCAUGGAUAGGAAGACUCAACAUUGUAAAAAUGUCUGUUCUUCCCAAAACGAUCUGUAGAUAACAAUGCAAUCCCAAUCCAAAUUCCAGUGGCAUUUUUUAAUGAGAUGGAGAAACAAAUCACCAAUUUCAUAUGGAAAGGGAAGAUAAGUAAAGCAUUACUGAAGAAAACAAAGUGGGAGGCAUGGUACUGGUAGAACAACACAUACACAGACCAGUGGAACGGAAUUGAGAACCCAGGUGUAAAUUCAUCCACCUAUGAUGAGCAGCUGAUAUUUGACAAAAGCCUGAAGUCUAUUAAUUGGGGAAAAGACAGUCUGUUUAUCUGGCAUAACUGGAUAUCCAUCUGCAGAAAAAUGAAACAUGACCCAUACCUCCCGCCAUGCACAAAAACUAAAAAUGGAUCAAAGACCUAAAUAGAAAAUCUAACGAUCAUGGAAGAAAAAAUAGAAACAACUCUAGGAGCCCUAAUACAUGGUGUAAGCAAAAUACAAAACAUUACUAACAAUGCACAAACACCAGAAAAGAAACUAGGUAACUAGGAGUGCCUAAAAAUCAAACACUUAUGCUCAUGGAAAGACUUCACCAAAAGAGUAAAAACAACCUAUGGGUUGGGAAGAAAAUUUUGGCUAUGACAAACUCAAUCAGGGUCUAAUCUUUAAAAUUUACAAGAUACUGCAAAACCUCAAUAACAAAAAGACAAAUAACCCAAUUAAAAAAUGGAGAAAGGAUAUGAACAGGCAGUUCACCAAGGAAGACAUUCAGGUAGCUAAUGAUACAUGAGGAAAUGCUCAUUUGUGAUCAUUAGCCAUUAGAGAAAUGUAAAUCAAAACUACAGUGAGAUACCAUCUCACCCCAGCAAGGCUAGCAUUAAUCCAAAAAACAUAAUAAAUGUUGGAGAAGUUGUGGAGAAACUGGAACACUUAUACACUGCUGGUGGGAAUGUUAAAUGGUACAACCGCUUUGGAAAUUGACUUGGCUCUUCCUUAAAAAGCUAGAAAUAGAGCUACCAUGCGAUCCAGCAAUCCCACUCCUUGGAAUAUAUCCUAGAGAAAUAAGAGCCCUCACACGAAUAGGUAUAUGCACAUCCAUGUUCACUGCAGCACUGUUCACAGUAGCAAAAAGAUGGAAACAACCUAGGUGCUUAUGAAUGGAUGAAUGGAUAAAGGAAUUAUGAUGUAUUCACACGAUGGAACACUACGCAACAAUAAAGAACAAUGAGGAAUCUGUGAAACAUAUAACAUGGAUGAAUCUGGAAGGCAUUAUGCUGAGUGUAAUUAGUCAGUUGCAAAAGGACAAAUAUUGUAUGAGACCACUAUUACAAGAACUCAAGAGAAGGUUUAAACACAGAAGAAAAUAUUCUUUGAUGGUUAAGAGGGUGGGGAGGGAGGAAGAGGGGUAGCUACUGACUAGAGAGUAGACAAGAAUUAUCUUAGGUGAAGGGAAGGACAAUAUAAUACAGGGAAAGUCAGCACAACUGGACUAAACCAAAAGCUAAGAAGCUUCCUGAAUACAACCAAACACUUAAAGGGACAGAGUAGCAGGGGCAGGGGUCUGGGGACCAUGGUUUCAGGGUACACCUAGGUCAAUUGGCAUAAUAAAGUUUAUCAAGAAAAUGUUCUGCAUCCCACUUUGGUGAGUGGCACCUGGGGUCUUAAAAGCUUGCAAGCAGCCAUCUAAAAUGGAUCAAUUGGUCCCAACCCACCUGGAGCAGAGGAGAAUGAAGGACACAAAAGACACAAGGAAAAUAUGAGCCAAAGAGAUAGCCACACAAACCAGAGACUCCAUCAGCUUGAGACCAGAAGAACUAGAUUGGCCUGGCUACCACCAAUGACCACCCUGUCAGGGAAUACAACCGAGAGUCCCUGAAGGAGCAGGAGAAAAGAAGGGUACAGAAUUCAAAUUCUAGUAAAAAGACCUCACUUAAUGGUCUGACAGAGACUGGAAGGACCCCAGAAGAUAGGGCCACUGGACUCUAUUAGCCCCAAACCAAAAGUAUUCCCGAAGCCAACCUUUCAGACAAAGAUUAGACUGGACAGUAAGACCUAAGGAAACCCGGGAGGCAUAGUGAUUAAGAGCUACAGCUGCUAACCAAAAGGUCUGCAGUUUGAAUCCACCAGGCACUCCUUGGAAACCGAGUGGGCCAGUUCUGCUCUGUCCUGUAGGGUCACUAUGAGUCAGAAUCGACAGUAAUGGCCUUAGUUUUUGGUUUUAUAAGACAUAAAAUGACACCUGUGACGAGUGUGUUUCUUAGCUCAAGUGGAUACGUGAGACUGAAUGGGCAGCUCCUCCUGUCUAGAGGUGAGAUGAGGGGGCAGAAGCUUGUUGAAUGGACAUGGGGAAUACAGGGUGAAAAGGAGGAAUGCUGUCACAUUAUAGGGAGAGCAACUGGGGUCACAUAACAAUGUGUAUAAAUUUUUGUAUGAGAAACUAGAACAAUAAACUUUCACUUAAAGCACAAUUAAAAAAAAAAAAAAGCCUUCUCCUGGAGCUGACGCUCUGAAUUUGGACUUCUAGCCUACUAGACUGUGAGAGAAUAAAAUUCUGUUUGGUAAAGCCAUUCACUUGUGGUAUUUCUGUUACAGCAGCACCAGUUAGCUGUCUUCUAAAUUUCUUGGCAUAGACAAGUGAGCACUUCCAGCACUGCAUCCGUGUUGAAACAUCUCAGUUGGUAGUCUCUCAAUUCUUGGUCCCUUGUUUUUGCCAGUGCUGAAGUACAUCUUGGACUUCUUCCUUCAGUACCAUCGGUUCUUGAUCAUAUGCUGCUUCCUAAAAUGAUUGAAUGUCGACCAGUUCUUUUUGGUACAGUGACUCUAUAUUCUUUGCAUCUUCUUUUGAUGCUUCCUGCGUCAUUCGGUACUGUGUCCAUAGAAUAUUCAAUUUUGCAUCUUGAGGCUUUAAGUUUUUCUUCAGUUCUUUCAGCUUGAGAAAUGAUGAGCAAGUUCUUCCUUUUUCGUUUUCUAACUCCAGGUGUUUGCACAUUUCGUAAUUCUUUGUCUUCUUGAGCUGCCCUUUGAAAUCUUCUGUUCAGCUCUUUUACUUCAUCAUUUCUUCUGUUCACUCUAGUGACUUGACAUUCAACAGCAAGUUUCAGAGUCUCUUCUGACAUCCAUUUUGGUCUUUUCUUUCUUUCCUGUCUUUGUAAUGACCUCUUGUUUCUUCAUGUACGAUAUCCUUGGUGUCAUUCCACAACUCAUCUGGUCUUCAGUCAUUUGUGUUCGAUGCAUCAUAUCUGUUCAUGAGAUGUUAUCUAAAUUCAGGUGGGAUAUACUCAAGGUCAUACUUUGGCUCUCAUGGACUUGUUCUAAUUUUUUUAGAACUUGCAUAUGGGCAAUUGUUCAUCUGUUGCGCAUUCAGCCCCUGGCCUUGUUCUGACUGAUGAUAUUGAGCUUUCCCCCCACAAGUCUGUCAUUACUGUGGGGGCUUGUGUGUUGCUGCGAUGCUGGAAAGCUGUGCCACUGGUAUUCAAAUACCAGCAGGGUCACCCACGGUGGACAGAUUUCAGCUGAGCUUCUGGACUAAGACAAACUAGGAAGAAAGACCUGACAAUCUACUUCUGAAAAAAAAUCAGUGAAAAUCUUAUGGAUAGCAGCAGAACACAGUGCCAGAAGAUGAGCCCCUCAGGUUGGAAGGCACUCAAAAGAUCACUGGGGAAGAGCUGCCUCCUCAAAGUAGAGUUGACCUUAAUGAUGUAGAUGGAGUCAAGCUUUCAGGACCUUUGUUUGCUGAUGCAAGAAACAGCUGCCAACAUCCAUUAAUAAUCAGAACAUGGAAUGUAUGAACUAUGAAUCUAGGAAAAUUGGAAAUUGUGGAAAAUAUGAUAGAAUGGAUAAACAUUAAUAUCCUAGGCAUUAGGGAGCUGAAAUGGACUGGUAUUGGCCGUUUUGAACUAGGCAAUCAUAUGGCCUACUAUGCUGGGAAGGACAAAUUGAAAAGUAAUGGUGUUGCAUUCAUCAUCAAAAAGAACAUUUCAAGAUCUAUUCUGAAGUACAAGGAUGUCAGUGAUAGGAUACUAUCCAUGCGCCUGCAAGGAAGACCAUUUAAUAUAACUGUUAUUCAAAUUAUUUUGUUGUAAUUGAUACUAAUUUCUUUCCAUUAAUUAAAAAUAUAGUGGAAAGAUAGUUUUUCAAAAUACAGUGUAUUACUCUACAAAUGAAGGCUUGGAGGCAAAUGAUUUAAACUGGUGUGUGUACUCUGUAACAUAGAACUAUGUAUACUACCAACUUCUUUGGGGAGCACAAAACAAGAUUAAGAUCUGAGGAAGUUCCUAACAUAUGUAAAGUAAUAGCCAUGCAAUAAAAAAUUAGCUACCUCGUAAGUUUUUAUAGAUACGUAAGGCUCAGCAUAACAGGAUUAUUUUAGAUUUAACCAGUAUACAGAAGAAAGGCAGGAUCAUUUAGAACAGUGGUUCUUUUAACUGUUCCACACAAAUCUGUCAUACUGUUUGGCCCUGGAAUUCCUUGGGAAAAAAAAAGUGUAAUUACAAUUGACUUUUAGUCAUGUUCAUUCUGCACAUUUCAACACAAGGUAAGAGAUUAGAAAUUAGGAAUUUAGAAAACAAUACAUGACCUACAUUGGCCACCACCUCCUAUAACUUCUUUGACGUACGUUACCAAGUUGGCACCUCCCUACAUAGUAUUACUAAACUCUGUAGUUGUCUUUGCUGUACAACCGAGCUCGCUGUUCCAUGUUGCUUUGUCAACAGACUUUCAUUACAUAAUAUAUAUCUUCUCAACUCUUACAAGUUCGUUAUAGGCAGAAGCAUUAUUGUCCUUCAUAUUUUGUAGUAUCUUACCCAGUAUGCGCCCUGUAUUUAAUGAUUAAUUAUUUUUGCAAAAUUUUUUUAAGCUUUACUCACUUUUUUAUCAAAUUUUUUUCUAUCAGAAACUCUUUAAAGUGUUCACAUUGGAUUUUUCUGUUGAGACUAGAUUUUUGGAAUCUGCUAGCAAACUGCUGACAUCCCAGGAAACACUCUCUUCUGUAAAAUUUCUUUCAUAAGCUCCUACAAGCCAGCCAUUUUAUUGGGCUUGAAAGUGUUGACUAAAAGGAACCAUACACUUUAACCCUCAAGUAUUCAGGAAUGUUGUUAUUAAUUUUUUUUCAACAUGUGUUAACUUUGUCUUCCCCACAAGAUUAUCAAAUACUCAGGGGAGUGAUUGCAGUGUGUGUGUGUGUGUGUGUUUUGUUCUGUUUUAUUUUUGGAUCUUGACACCUUUCCAGAUAACUUUCCUCAUCAAGAAUUUAUCGUUAUUUAACAACAAAAUGACAACCCAAUCAUAAAACGGGCAAAGAACUUGAAUAGCCAUUUCACCGAAGAGGACAUUCAGAUGGCCACCAAACACCUGAAAAGAUUUUCAGCAUCACUAGCCAUCAGAGAGACGUAAAUCAAAACCACAGCGAGAUACCGUAUCACUGCCACUAGGGUGGCUAAGAUUUAAAAAAAAAAAAAAAAAAGGAAAUGUU